RNAcentral lists this ribosomal RNA (461 nucleotides) under uncultured bacterium. RNAcentral's name for it is "bacterial SSU rRNA". It matches the Rfam family "Bacterial small subunit ribosomal RNA", at positions 338 to 795 of the family's 1533-position model. The record is from RNAcentral.
CCUACGGGGGGCUGCAGUAAGGAAUAUUCCGCAAUGGGCGAAAGCCUGACGGAGCGACGCCGCGUGAAGGAUGAAGUCCUUCGGGAUGUAAACUUCAAUAGUUUGUCAGGAAGUGAGGCGACCUAAUACGUCGCCGAGUUGACCAGCGAACGAAAGGGACGGCUAACUCCGUGCCAGCAGCCGCGGUAAGACGGAGGUCCCUAGCGUUGUUCGGAAUUACUGGGCUUAAAGCGCGUGUAGGCGGAACGGUGAGUACCUUGUGAAAUCCCCGGUCUCAAGCCGGGAACUGCUCGGUAUACUAUCGUUCUUGAGGCAGGUAGGGGUCACUGGAACCUUAGGUGGAGCGGUGAAAUGCGUAGAUAUCUAAGGGAACGCCUGUGGCGAAAGCGGGUGACUGGGCCUGUCCUGACGCUGAGACGCGAAAGCGUGGGGAGCAAACGGGCUUAGAUACCCCGGUAGUC